UCCAGUUUCAAUGAACAUAAAGUAUGUGGUUAGAUUGUAAUCCAAUUAAACUAGUACUUUUGCAUAUAGGGUUACAGAGUGCUUUUGGUGAAUGGAAAUAGUUAUCACUUUACAGAACAUGGUCUUGACUACCUACUACAUGGUUUUCUGAUUUCUCAAAAACAUCUGCUACAAAAAAAAAAACUGUCCUGUAAAUAUGAUGAAAAUCCAUACAGUUUGUCUGAAUUAAUUAGUAAAACUAUUGAUUCCAUUUGAGAUUUUUUUUUCCAUGUGCUUGUGGAUGAAUUUGCUGGUGAUUUUUGAUGUUUUAUUGAAUACAUGUUGAUGCAGAUGAGACGAGAGUGCAGAUUGAAAGGGCACAAUUAUGCCUUUUUAGGUGUUGCAGAAUGAUUUAGACAUCUUGCGGUCGUAGGUUGGUUUGUAGGUUGGCUUAACUGAUAGUGAUCCUUAAACUUUGCAGUUUCAACCUAACAAUGAAAAGUUUCUCAAAGAUCCUAUAUGUGUUAAUUACCAAGUAUCCUCCAACUGCAUCUA
This is a long non-coding RNA of Papaver somniferum (opium poppy), 534 nucleotides long. RefSeq lists it as uncharacterized. The record is from RefSeq and is a predicted model, not a curated record. Lineage: Eukaryota; Viridiplantae; Streptophyta; Magnoliopsida; Ranunculales; Papaveraceae. The transcript has 3 exons.